CCCCUUUUCGUGUUAGACCUAAGUCUCGAACCGUAGUUGGUCCUUGUGAGACGACCUAGGGGUCAUUCCCUAGCUAUACUGCAUUUCUUAUUAUGCAAUCAAAUUUGAUUGGGCGGCGACACCCAUCAAGGAUAAAUAUGGGUGAGAAGCUACAAACCAAAGGAAAUAGAGGAGCAAUGGGGAACAAGUGUAAACACAAUAUACUCACACCCAAAACCUCUAAUUUCAUCCUCUUCUUGACUCCUU
Molecule: long non-coding RNA, 246 nt
Filed under: Vigna radiata
Lineage: Eukaryota; Viridiplantae; Streptophyta; Magnoliopsida; Fabales; Fabaceae
Description: long non-coding RNA (VRAD_LNC011131)
Source: RNAcentral